Molecule: ribosomal RNA, 300 nt
Filed under: Escherichia coli
Lineage: Bacteria; Pseudomonadati; Pseudomonadota; Gammaproteobacteria; Enterobacterales; Enterobacteriaceae
Description: bacterial SSU rRNA
Rfam family: Bacterial small subunit ribosomal RNA
Source: RNAcentral
GUGUCAGCCGCCGCGGUAAUACGGAGGGUGCAAGCGUUACUCGGAAUCACUGGGCGUAAAGGACGCGUAGGCUGGAUGCCAAGUCUGAUGUGAAAUCCUAUGGCUUAACCAUAGAACUGCAUUGGAAACUGGUAACCUAGAGUAUGGGAGGGGGAGAUGGAAUUAGUGGUGUAGGGGUAAAAUCCGUAGAUAUCACUAGGAAUACCGAAAGCGAAGGCGAUCUCCUGGAACAUAACUGACGCUGAGGCGUGAAAGCGUGGGGAGCAAACGGGAUUAGAUACCCCCGUAGUCCAUGGCCUA